CGGCCUUUUUACAUCUCUUCGCUGCCCCCUUCCUCGUGCGACUCGCCCGUUCCUCCACAGAUAAGCUUUCCUCUCUCGUGCGGCGAUCCCCUUUUCCUCCUUCGUGCGACAGAUCCUACUCCGGCAAGAGACCGCCGCCCUUGUGGCCAGCAUCUCCAUCGUCGGCGUCCGCGUUGUCCAGGGCUCCGUCAAGCUCGGCGUCAUCUAGGGUUCCGGCAAGCCCGGCGUCGUCUAGGCUUCCGCCAAGCUCGGCGUCAUCUAGGUCCUCGUCAAGCCGGCAUCCACAAGGACGAUCUAUAA
This 300-nucleotide ribosomal RNA is filed under the name Triticum aestivum (bread wheat). RNAcentral's name for it is "partial small subunit ribosomal RNA". The record is from RNAcentral. Lineage: Eukaryota; Viridiplantae; Streptophyta; Magnoliopsida; Poales; Poaceae.